UAUUAUUGGCAAAGUGCUGUCUGCGGAGAGAACAGGCGGAUCGUAAAGACGCCGUAAAUCCCUCCCUGGAGGCUCGAGCCGCGCCAUCCCUGGCGCGGA
Molecule: non-coding RNA, 99 nt
Filed under: Yersinia mollaretii
Lineage: Bacteria; Pseudomonadati; Pseudomonadota; Gammaproteobacteria; Enterobacterales; Yersiniaceae
Description: Yersinia sRNA 224
Rfam family: Yersinia sRNA 224
Source: RNAcentral